GACGAGGAGGGCCUCCUGGUCACCCUUCUGGGGGCCCGUACUGUCAUGCCUCAGAGCUGGCAAGUCGUCCCAGGGAAGACAACGGCCUUCCUGGAGGGAGGGAACCUUGUGGUUAGGCGCAUGGGGUGCGAAGCAGGGCCUCUACUUGGCCGACGCAGCUAGAAGACUAAGGUCAGGGGCAUUCUGGAUGCAGCCCACAAAGCUAGCUCUCUGUGGCACUGAGCAAGGUAGGGAAGGAUGGAGAGUAUUUUUGCAGAGCAGCUGCAGAAUGUCCAGCUAGAUCAUCUCAGCCUCUCCUGAACUGUGACCAACUGGCUUACUCAAGGGACUGGAUCUGCUGUCCCGACAUGAUGGCAAGCUGCAGCACAUCAUGCAGAUUAAAGUUCAGCCUGCCUCAGACUCAGGAUAAAAACACAUUUGGGACAGUCUCGCUCAGCCUCAUUGCAGAGACAAGAAAUGUAUGAAAAGAAAGUACAGAGAAAAAAAAAGAAUGGAAUACACAUGAAUGCCGAACCACAUUGGAUAUGUAGCUGUUCAUGAAGAUAUUCCAGGGAAGGCCUAUCUAGUAGAGCCUCAAAUCUAUUUGAAUACAAAUGGCACUCAUUAAGGACAUCUGUCUUCUGUAAUGUCUACACAAAGUCUUACCGGGGUCUUCUUGGCUCUUAUUGACGGCUGAUGAAGGAGGGGUUUAUAAAGAAAACAAGCCAAAACCUGAAUAACUUGCUACUGAGAGCAGCACACAUAUUUUCCCAAAGUGCAAAGUUGAGAAGAAGUACAAAGCUUUGUUAAUAUUCUGAACAGUACUGCUUAGUAUGAUCUAAUUGAUGGAUUUUCCAUGGACUCCCUAGAGACUGAAAAAGAAGUUCCACAAUGGAUGUUCCUGAUGAGUGUGCAUUCGUAUAAUUAUUCAGAGACUCAAACUCCUACCAUUUAAUGUCUCCUCCAUUUCUGGAGUCCCAGGAGUCCUCUUCAAGAGAGCCUCUGUCUUUGGCUGACCUUCAUGAGAAAGUAUAUGGAGGUCACAUGGGUGAUAUUUCAUGCUGAGCCUGUAAGUUACACAGAUCCCUCUGCUCACAUUUCACGGGCCAGACAACGCAUGGCCACUCCACAGUAUGGGAAGCUGGGACCUGCACUCCAGUUCUGUGCUUAGACAAUAGAAAAGGAAGAUUUUGAACAUUUAAUAGUCUUUCUUCAACUUAUAAUUGGAAAUACAUUUUAAAAUAGUCAUAUAUUCAUAUAGUAGAAUAAAAAACUUGAUAGUAGUUAUCAAACUUUUUUACCAUUCAAUACAAUGAAAAGAUGUUCUUGAUGUAUCGAGUGGAAAGUGUUUGUUACAAACAAUGUUUUUGUCACAAGUUUUAUGGUUAUUCACACAGCCAUGCUAUCAUCUCAGCAAUGUCAUACUUCCUGCUUUCCCAAGUUUUCCUUUUUUUUCUUUUUCUUCUAUGUGCUUAGUAAAGAAAGCAUGAUGGCUGGGCACGGUGGCUGAUGCCUGUAAUCCCAGUACGUUGGCAGACCAAGAGGGGAGGAUCACGAGGUCAGGAGAUUGAGACCAUCUUGGCUGCAGUGCAACUCUGUCUCUACUAAAAAUACAAAAAUUUAGCCAGGCAUGGUGGCCAGGCGCCUGUAGUCCCAGCUACUCGGGA
Molecule: long non-coding RNA, 1646 nt
Filed under: Homo sapiens (human)
Lineage: Eukaryota; Metazoa; Chordata; Mammalia; Primates; Hominidae
Description: HSALNT0127741
Source: RNAcentral